GUACAAGGUGAAAGUGAAAUAGCAGCAGCAAACGUCAACAAAAGGAAGAAAUUGGCGCCUUUCACUGACGCUAUGUUAAAAGCUUUCGUUCGCGCCAGCGGUAGUACGUUCGCUCUUUUUUAUUCCGAACGUCGAUCAAGCCAGAAGUGUAUGAAGUGUUAAGUUCAACUUGUCGAAAUAAAAAAAAAAAAAAGUCAAAUUUUCUUCCGCUGGCAAGAAAGCAAAUGCUUGUGCCUUUUGUGGGAAAAAAAAUAAAGUUCACAAAUUAAAUUCAAAAGAGUGUAAUUGUUCUGUUUAACCGCUUUGAAGGGUACAACCAUCAAAGCCGCUAAAAUAUUUGCGGAAGAAGUAUCAGACCUCGGGCCUUGAUCAGCUGUCUGCAACAACAAACCUUGCCUGGGACUUCCACUCGGUCGGCCGCAGUGCCUAGAGGGAGAAUAAACGGCAGGAAAAAAAGAAGAGAGCAACUUCCAGGCUAGCUUUCCCGUCCACUCAACACCCGGCAGCUUCUACUUUAAUUUGGGAGUGUAGAAAAGGCGGCUAUAGCGACCAAACGUCGGCGGGGGCGCGACCCUUUUUAAAUCGGCGACCAAACGUUAAAAUAAGUAUCGGAACUCGCCCGGAGGUGUUACCCAUUUUUUUCCUUAAUUUUUUUAUUGUUGGUGUCGGUUUAGUGCCCGAAAAAAAGUAAAAAUCCCGAGUAAAUUCGGGUAAGAGUGUAGUGGCGCGCAAGCGCCGAAGAAGCCGUAUGCCGGCGUAUUAGUAUUUAUAAGGUUAGGCUAGUUUUUUUAUAUAUGUUAAUUUGUCCAAAUCAGUGGCAAAAUUUUAUUUGAAGUGCUCGUGAUAUGUAUGGUUUUAAUUGUUAAGCCACUGUUUUAUUUUUGCAUUUUUUUUUUUUCGUGUUGCCUUAUUCCGUAAUUCGGAAGGCACCAAUUUUUUUUAGUGAGAACGUGAGAGCGAUUAAUGGUUCUCUCUCGCGCUUGUGCGCUUUACUUUGCUUCCCGCGGUUUUUUUUUUGUUUGCGCGCUCUUAUUCCAGCGCGGUGUCUUUUUUUACAGCUACGCUCGUUCCAGACGGAAAGCGCUUUCUGCGUGGGAUCAGCAGCCCAGCCGAAUAUUGUAAAGCGUAGCUAAAGAGAGUAUUGAAGGAAAACAAAACAAAUCAAUCAACAGUGAGGAUACGCUGCGACACAAUUAACAAGGAAGACAGAUAUACAGAUAAACAGAUAAACACAUUAAGGGAAUACUUGCAGAAGGCAUGCAACCGAUUGUUGGCCAAGCCAUAAAAGCACGGCGCCUGGAACAGGUACAACGCAUCCUGUGGUGGCAUUUUUGUCUCCCCAUAAUAAAUGUAACGCAACAACGAAUGGAAUGCCUCCAAUGAUGGCGAGAUUUCUCCAAUUUGUAUCUGUGUACGAAAAGAUUGUGUGUGAGAGAGAAAGAGAGAGAGUGAGCACAUGAAAGAAAAAGAGAGGCAGGCCAUACAGCCGCUUUCAGUCUAUGUGAGCCGCCAUGUGUAGUGAAACAUAGAACGAUUAUGUAUCUCCUAUACCAACAGAUACAUAAGUGACCUGAGUUCUAAUGUAGAAUUCUUCUUGAAGUUCCCCAAAGUGUAACAAAUUGUAUACUAGCCACCAAAAUGUGGAGGUAUCAAUAAAAAAAACUACAAAUGUACAAGUUUCUUAACUGUUUUCUGAUAAACAAAAGAGCUUCUGCUUGUAAAACUCUUUUCUAUGACACCUUUUAGGUAUGGUCCGCCGAUUUGGGUAAAACAAUAAAAUACGGAGAGACAUUAUGAAACACUUAUAAAUACGCUAAGAUGGAACAAUAUCUCGUACUAAGAUGGAUUUUUUCCCCGAUCAUUUCUAUGACAGCUACAUAAUAUAGUGCACCGAUUUUGAUAAUACUUCAAAUGAAUUUAAGACACUACGCAAAACUCAUAAAUACCAACAUUGCUUGAGACAUCUUUAUGAAGGAGAAAGUUAUUCUACUAAAAGCGUUUUUGCACCGAUUUUUCCAAUGGCAGCAAUAAAAUGCGUCUAUAUAAGCUGUAAUGGUGCAAAAGUUCUCGGUGUUCAUACUGACGAACGAAAAAUCGAUUUCGUCAUGCUGAUUAUAUCCUUCUGGCAGUUAAACAAAUUUUGCGUUUGGACUUUCUAGUAUAGCUUUUAAGCCCUUGAGCACCUCUGUAAAUAGUAAUUGCAUAGUAUCUAAAAGAAUCUAGACUGACCCCAAGCAGUAAGUAGCCUAGAAUAAAGCAUAAAAUAAUGUUUCUUUUCUACAAUUUAAACAUAGCACAAUAACGAGGCAUUGUAACUUUUUUAAUACAUCACUUAAUUCUGGGAGAUAAAGCAACACUACACAUGCUGGCUAAAUUUUAUUUUCUAAAUUGUAUAUUAUAACAAA
Long non-coding RNA from Scaptodrosophila lebanonensis, 2405 nucleotides. RefSeq lists it as uncharacterized. Lineage: Eukaryota; Metazoa; Arthropoda; Insecta; Diptera; Drosophilidae. The transcript is spliced from 5 exons. The record is from RefSeq and is a predicted model, not a curated record.